CAUUUCUUCAUUUUUGUCUUUUCUUAAAUGGGUAGUAGGUAUUGGUAACUUUGCCAGUUGACAACCCCUUUCUAGUGUGCAAUCAAGCUUCUAAGCAGCCUUGUGUUUUGUUUUCUAUUCGUGGUUGGCUGCCCCCUUUAACCUUAUCAAAGCAGUUAAAUUUCUUCAAACUGUCAACCAGAGCCAUGUCAGCAUCUUAAAGAAAGUCACCGCUGACAAAGCUCAGCACAACUGAAUUGAUCUUUCACCCCUUGGGGCAUUCUAAACAGCCAGCCCCUUGCACCACCCCCAGAGCUUGAUUUAAAGUUCAGCCCUUUCUGCCUUCUUGUGGGGAAGGCAAGCUGGGCUGCUCCAUAGCUGGAUUUAAAAAUAUUUCUGUCUCCAUGUUUAACACCUCAGCUUUUCUCUGGGACUUCUAGGUGCCUAGGGGGGUGAAGUGAAGUUUGAGGAAACAGAUAUCAACAGAUCGAAGUAAAUCCAAUAUACUCUGUGUCCUUGUGGCAAAUGAUCAUCAGACCAAGUACAGUUUUCUGUUCAAAGGACAUGGAGUGGUACGAUUUGAGCAGCAAGGAGGGCUUUCUUAUCAAACUCUCAAUACUUUUUCUACCUUCUCCAUCUUUAAAAAUUUUAAUUAGUCUGCAGGAUGCCUGGAUCUGGGGAGAAUAGUUUAAUUUUAUUCAGCAACUACACUUCAAAGUUAAGUCAUGACAAGCCUCUUCCACAACGUGGUAUAUCCCUGAGCUACUUUUCUGUCUGACUCUUAUGGAGUCCUCUACAGAAGAUGCCUUGUGCUAUAAAAUUUUAUUUUAAAAAUAUCCGCUAUUGGAUUUCCCAUCACAGCUUAGUGGUAACAAACCUGACUACUACCCAUGAGGACUCAGGUUCGAUCCUGGCCUCCCUCAGUGGGUUAAGGAUCCGGUGUUGCUGUGAGCUGUGGUGUAGGUCAUAGACGCGGCUCGGAUCUGGCACUGCUGUGGCUGUGGCUGUGGCAUAGGCCAGCAGCUAGAACUCUGAUUUGACCUCUAGCCUGGGAACUUUCAUAUGCUGCAGGUACGGCUCUAAAAAGACAAGAAAAAAAAAUUGCUAUUGUUUGUGUUCUACGUAAAAUUUGCCUUUGAGAGUUGCUGCUAUGGUGCAACAGGAUCUGCAGCAUGCCUGAAGCCCUAGACGCAGGUUCGCUCUCCAGCUAGGCACAGAGGUUUAAAGGAUCCCACAUUGCUGCAGCCCACACUGCUGUAGCUGAAGUGUAGGUUGCAACUGCAGCUCAGAUCUGAUCCCUGGCCUGAGAACUCCAUAUGCUAUUGGGGGGAGGGGGGGUUGCUUUUAAACUUUUUAUGCUAAAUUUGUAGAGUAAAAUGGACAUAAGCCCUUCUGAUAAAAUCUGGACUUCUUUGAAUUCCAUAUUCAUUUCUUAACUAUCACUCCUGAUGAAAUCAUAAAGAUAUAAGAGGUAAGUCUUGCUCUCAAAGAGCUCACAGGGAAGUCAGGGAAGAAGGAACAAACAACAAUAAAAACACCUCCUGCUCAUUGCUCUAUGUAUGCAAUGGGAAUGACGCAUUUUUCCAUGAAUAGGGUUCUGUAAAUCUAGACUCCUCUGAAAAAGGAAAACUCCCAAUUCUAUUGCUGUGAUGUAGCUAUUAUAUAAGACUUCAAAUUUGGUGAAAUAAGUGAUACAGAAUUAAAGCAAUUUAUCUAAGACCAAAAGCUUCUUGGUUGACCAAGUUGUGUGUAACAUGUCCACAAAUGGAAUGUGAUAUCCAAGAGCCUAGAGAAAGACUGGAAGACCCCAAAGGCAAUACUGUGAUCAUUAUACUGAGUUCAAUUAAAUCCUGCCCUGACUCCUGCUCUUUUAUAUUUCUACUAAAAAAGGACAUCAAUUUUCUGAUUUUGCUAAUAUGAAUAUAGUCUUAUUUUCUUUCUCUCCUCUCCUCCUCUUUCUCUUUUGUGCACACACACACACUCAUUAUUAUUGUUAUAUAUAAUACAUAUUACAUAAAUACAUGCUCAUAUGAGAUUUGUCCUUAUCUAAUAACUUUACAUAUAGAGCACUCUACAGUUACUGGUAGCUUUCAUUUAUCAAUCUUAUUUAAUUUCAUAAAUUCAUCAUGAGUUAAUGACUUUCACAAGGUCAAGACAUACAGGUCAAGACAUACAGGCAUAAACUAUAGGGUAGUAAUUGAAAUGAACUUCAACAGCCUUAUUUGUUCAUAAAUUUACCAUUGACAACUGCUGGAUUUCAUAAAUCAUAGGAAGAAUACAAGACAAUUCACUUUAUAAGAGCUCAUGUAUUAAAAAAAAAGAUAUUAGGCACGCUAGGAGUACAUGAAAUUGCGAAUGGGUAGAAUUUUAAGUACUGUCUUCACUGCCAGAGAUACUUCCCUUCAGGAACCUUCAUCUGAUUUCAUUUUCAUUUCACAAUCAAAUAUAAUUCAUGUGCUC
Molecule: long non-coding RNA, 2439 nt
Filed under: Sus scrofa (pig)
Lineage: Eukaryota; Metazoa; Chordata; Mammalia; Artiodactyla; Suidae
Description: lncRNA (ENSSSCG00065008178.1)
Source: RNAcentral